GACUUUAACCAGCCGACACCUCAUGCAUUCCCUUCCAAAUUCUUCUUAUUUCUCUCUGUAGAUGUCAUCUUCAAUAAACAUAAACACAUGGAAUCCAUCUCCUUCAAUACACACACAUGGAGAUCAUUUCAUCUCCACAAACUCUCAAGACAAACAACAGGCACCAUAACUUCUCCUCUCCAUCGCAAUUUCCAAACCAGCGACCACAAGAAGUGGCGCCGGUUAACCAGCGUGACACCCCCAAACACCUCCACCCCUCCCCUGUUUAUUAGCCGGCGACCAAUUAUAGAAGACAACCACCACCGUCAGGUGGUGGUGGUGAGCGACAGCUCAAGCGAGAGAGAGAGAGAGAACCGAGAUCGGAGAAAGAGAUCGGACGGCGGUAACACCGCCACUCACGGAGGAUAGGCGGCGGUGGCUUUGUUCUUCCGGCGAGUUUCACAGUAAUGAUCUGCUGUGGCCAAUGAUGAUGAUGUUGGCGGUGUCAUGCGGCGGCGGUGGUAGUGCCGACGACAAGAGUGGAGCUCUGUUCCGACUGGGCUCCGGUUUGGGUUGUUUGACUCCGACUCCAGUUCGGAUUUCGGGUUCUCCGAGUCAAACGCAAAUCCUCAGUUCAAAGUUUCGGUCUGGUCAAGCGAGUCAAACUAGUCAGCAGCUCGGGUCAACGGUCAUACUUAUUCGGUUCCGAUUCGAUGUUCGGUAAAAUUUUAAAUGUCUCGAAGUUCAUUUUAUUAUUUAUGUUGUUAUUUUAGUCGCAGAACCGAACUUUAAAUAAAUUGUAUCGACAACAUGUUAUAUGUAACUUUGAAUAAUUGUUGAAUUUUGUCAAUGUUAUCGACAACUAUUAUUGUCGGGAUCGUCCAAAAACAGAGGAAACUCUGCCCGUUUUUCGUAAAAAAUGUCCGUGAAACGAGACGCGUUUAUUUAUAAUACCAAACAUAUCGAAUUCAUAUAAAAUUUUACAACAAUAUAUGUAAAUGUAUAUCUAUUUUGACAACAUUUCUAUGAUAUUUUUGAUAAACUUAAUUUAGAAUUAUUGCUUAAACUAUAUAAAAUAUAUACAUGUAUAUGUAUAUAUGUAUGUAUGUAUAUAUAUGUAUAUAUAUGUAUAUAUGUAUAUAUAUACUUACCCAUCGACUCGAUAAUCUUUAAAUUCCACUUCAAAUUCUCCGUUAAAAUUCCGUUUACUCAUGCACCCGCGUUUGCCCGUAUAUGGUGACCUCGGUGUUCCAUCCUCCCAAUCUCAUACGCUCGUCCACACUUGGAUAAUCGGAAGACUUAGCAAUCAUGUUUAGCGAUGAUGUUGGUGAUGCAUGGAAUCUAGUAGGAUGCUUAGAUACACACUUUAAUUUGUAUUCUUAUUGCACUGUAUUUCAUUAUUCAUUAUGUUGUAUUUACUUCAAUUUCUUGUAAUUUAUUCUUUAGAAAUGAAAUGAAAUUUACUAUUUAAA
Molecule: long non-coding RNA, 1451 nt
Organism: Helianthus annuus (common sunflower)
Lineage: Eukaryota; Viridiplantae; Streptophyta; Magnoliopsida; Asterales; Asteraceae
Exons: 3
Source: RefSeq, a predicted model, not a curated record